UCCCGCCCUGCUCGUUAGUCCGACUGUGUAUAUAUGCCUGGUGUUUCUGUCUUGUCUUUGUCGGGUCAUUGUAUGCUGUCUCCUGGAGUUGCUGUGAGGUCUCCUGUUGGUUGUCGUGUCUCCUGUUCAUGUUAUGCUGCUCUCUUUAGAUCUCUGUUUGGACUACCUUAGUUUUUGGACUCUGUAUUCAGCCACUCACCUGUAAGUGUGCUCGCUUUUGGUUCGUUCAUUAAAACCCCUUUGUACUGUACCUCUUCCUGCCUUGCGUCCUGCGUUUGGGUCCUCCAACCUGCCUCACCCACACCAAACCGUGACAACAUGCUACCCAACGAUACCCUGACUGCUGUUAGGUACCGGAAUGAAAUCCUCAGGGCUGUUAGACAGCUAUACUCCAACACUACUAACUGACUGCCACAUGUCAUUUGUGGUUGUUUGUGUUGGUUUCAAAUAAAUAAAUGGUUGAUUUGCUUUAACACCUUGUGUCACAUGUCAUUUGUUUUUGAGCUGUGUUCUGUCAAUGUGUGCUACAUAUUGAGAUGUGCUAUUUAGCAUCUUAUUAGGUUUAGACUCGACAAGGCAGCAUAUAUCGUCAGAACACAGCCUCAUGUGGCCAGAAGUUUCUGGAUGGCGAAGGCAGAGAUGCCAUUGACUGGCCCUCAUGUACCCCAGAACUGAAUCCAGUUCAGAAGAUCUGGGACUGGGCAUCUGAUGCCGCCAUUAACUGUCCAUGUUGUGGUACUACAGAAUCUCUCCACUACCUUGUGUUCUUUUGUUUCCCCCCCCUUCCCUGUGUUUUCUGUCUGUCCUCCCUGUCUGUGUUUGUCUGGGUGUGGCUACACUCUCUGGCUCCAGCGGCGCACCUGGUCCUCAUUCCACUAAUCAAGCUCCUGCAAUAUUUCAACCCAGUCCUCCUCACAUUCUUCGCCAGAUCGUCAGUUAACCACAUGUGGAUCACACUACCUCCGGGAACUCUGCUGAACGCCACAUCUUGCUCAGCUCACAUCUUGCCUGGACAAACUCCCCUCCUCCGUGUUCUCCAUUCUGCCCUGUUGGAACCUACCACCCAGUCUUCCGUUGCUCUUUUCAAUAAAACCCUCUGUUACCCCUUCGAA
This is a long non-coding RNA of Micropterus dolomieu (smallmouth bass), 1112 nucleotides long. RefSeq lists it as uncharacterized. NCBI's taxonomy places the organism in Eukaryota, Metazoa, Chordata, Actinopteri, Centrarchiformes, Centrarchidae. The transcript is spliced from 2 exons. The record is from RefSeq and is a predicted model, not a curated record.